RNAcentral lists this long non-coding RNA (578 nucleotides) under Homo sapiens (human). RNAcentral describes it as "non-protein coding lnc-GPR31-3:2". The record is from RNAcentral. Lineage: Eukaryota; Metazoa; Chordata; Mammalia; Primates; Hominidae.
AUGUGUGAGAGGCUGUAUAUGUGUCCUGAGAUGUGUGAGGUGUUGUGUGUGUGUCCUGAGGUGUGUGAGGGUUGUGUGUGUCCUGAGGUGUGUGAGGUGUUGUGAGUCCUGAGGUAUGUGAGGGGUUGUGUGUGUGUCCUGAGGUGUGUGAGGGUUGUGUGUAUUCUGAGGUGCAUGAGGGGUUGUGUGUGUCCUGAGGUGUGUGAGAUGUUGUGUGUGUGUCCUGAGGUGUGUGAGAGUGAAAGUUGUGUGUGUCCUGAGGUGUGUGAGGGUUGUGUGUGUGUGUCCUGAGGUGUGUGAGGUGUUAAGUUGUGUGUGUCCUGAGGUGUGUGAGGUGUUAAGUUGUGUGUGUCCUGAGGUGUGUGAGGGUUGUGUGUGUGUCCUGAGGUGUGUGAGGGUUGUGUGUCCUGAGGUGUGAGAGGGUUGUGUGUGUGUCCUGAGGUGUGUGAGGGGUUAUGUGUGUCCUGAGGUGUGUGAGGGUUGUGUGUGUGUCCUGAAGUGUGUGAGGUGUUGUGUGUGUGUCCUGAGGCGUGUGAGGGUUGUGCGUUUCUUGAGGUAUGUGAGGGUUGUGUGUGUCC